UAUGUAUAUACACUUGGCAAAUAUUUUAAGAGUAUUUUUCGAAAUUGAGGUUAAGAAAACAAAUAGUUUUAAGAGUAUUUUAUUAUAUGUUGAUGGAAAUGGAAGAUGGAAAGUGAUUAAUCAGUCAAACAGUGUAGACCUAAAAUAUAGCAUAUACUACUGGCUUGGUUGUUGAAUUAUUAUUACUAUUUGCUUCCCCCACAGGCUGCAAAAUGCUAUGUUAGUUCCACAUCAUAAUGAAAAGUAGAAAGUUCCAUAGAUCUCAGAAAAUUAAGGAGAAAAGGGUGCAUCAUCCACCAUAAUUGGUUCUAUACUCUUCUAUCUUCAUCAAUUAGUCUUUCUUCUUUGCUUUCUUUGGAAGAUUAUUCAAAGAAGGUGCAUGUAUGAAAGAUAGAUCCCUCUCUCUCUAUAUAUAUGGAUUGGAGGUGGUGAUGGUGAAGUGCUAUGAAUAUUUGUUGUAUGAAGCUAACAAAACUGAGGUAUUGGCGCGCCUCAAUUUGAAUACAUGGUUACUAGGUAAUCCGUAACCAUGUAAUUUGAUUGAGCCGCGUCAAUAUCUUAUUUUUGCACUUCUUUAUUACCAUCUCCACAUACACACCCCCAAUAUCAUCAAAGUUAUGAAUCUGUAGGAAAAGGGAAAAAUAAAAUCAAAGUUUCCAGCAUAGUGUGGAUUGUAGCUAGCUGCAGAUGAAGCAUCACCAUGAAAGGGCAACAUACAUGGGGUAUAUAAGGGAGGGGACAUGGUAGAGUUAAUGAAGGAGGAAUCCUUCAUUUUCUUGAGAUGCUGGCUAUUAAUUCCUUCAAAGUUGAAGGUGCAAACUCAAAAUGUGGGGCCUCUUUACUCUUUGCCUUUAUGUAAUUUUUGCUUUGCAUUCAUUUCUAUUCCAUCAGUUUCAUGCAUGUAGCCAAGUAGCACCAAACUAAGCCAUGAUUAGGCCCUAUCAUCUUUUUCUCCAUUGUGUAUGUAUAUGUAUAGCAACCUGUGUGUAUUAGUGGUAAAUAAUUUAGAUCUGAAUAUUACAUUUGAUGGUCAAAAUAAUACUGUGAUUUUAGGUCAUUAUUUUGAUAUUGUUUAGUAAAAAU
Molecule: long non-coding RNA, 1083 nt
Organism: Arachis duranensis
Lineage: Eukaryota; Viridiplantae; Streptophyta; Magnoliopsida; Fabales; Fabaceae
Exons: 3
Source: RefSeq, a predicted model, not a curated record